GUUAGGUUAGGUUAGGUUAGGUUAGGUUAGGUUAGGUUAGGUUAGGUUAGGUUAGGUUAGGUUAGGUUAGGUUAGGUUAGGUUAGGUUAGGUUAGGCUAGGUUAGGUUAGGUUAGGUUAGGUUAGGUUAGGUUAGGUUAGGUUAGGUUAGGUUAGGUUAGGUUAGGUUAGGUUAGGUUAGGUUAGGUUAGGUUAGGUUAGGUUAGGUUAGGUUAGGUUAGGUUAGGUUAGGUUAGGUUAGGUUAGGUUAGGUUAGGUUAGGUUAGGUUAGGUUAGGUUAGGUUACGUUACGUUACGUUACGUUACGUUACGUUACGUUUCGCUACUUUACGUUACGUUACGGUACGUUACAGGAAACAUUUGUAAUUUAACUGACAUCAUUCUAAGGUCUUAAUUCUUCAAUAUUUUAUACUACUGCCGAACGGAUUUGCUUGAAUUCAUGAAUCCAAAAUUAAACAAGGAGGGAAUUUCCACUAUCAGUCUUCUGAAAUUCCCCUUUUCAACUUUCAAUUCUGCAGUUUUUGUUUCAUAGUAUUUUUCCGGAUCAGUACUUUUACGAUUUGUAAAUAUUUCAUCUAACCAAAGAUGUAUCGAAAGAGGUUUUUAUUUUUAUUUUUUUUUUUUGUUGUUGCUGUUGUUGAGAGGACUUAUACACGUCAUACUCAUACUCUUAAUGGAUUUUUCUCACCUAAACCCCAGUGAUUUUACAUUCCUGUUGGCUGAGCGAGGAUAUGUUUUCAGUUCUUUACCCAAUUUAACGAGAAUAUUGUAUGGGUGGGUGGUAGAACCAUAAAAAUCAUCACUCCUUUGGUAUGGUCGAAGAGGAAAAGAAAGGCAGAAGUCUGGAGGACAAACCUUAUAUUAUAUAUAGAAGAAGACCCAAAGUACACAAACAUAACAUGCGAAGGCUUUAAAAAUUGAAACAUCUUUUACAUUAUCUGGAUUUUUUUUUUCUUCUUAAGAGUUGAUAUCAUCACGUGCAGCAGCUGGGUGAAUGGAGAAUGGAGAUGUUCUGUAAAAAUUGCUACAGGUAAGUGGAAAUCGGAAAAUGAAAACAAAUAUUGGUUUAUAUACUUUUUUUGCUUCUAUAAGGAGAGUCUUAUGUUUUUUAAGAGUACCUACCUACUUACAUAGGUAAUUUGGCAGUAAGUCUUCAUGAGAAGUAAUCUAUAAGCUUGCCCAUGCUUUGAUGUACGAAACUUGGAAAGAAGUAAUCCAAAAUCCAAAGGAAGUAAUGGGAACAAUUUCAAUCAGGACUUUUUGGAUUAUUGAAAUAAGGAUUUUCAGCUUGUGCAAGAUCUGAGAGCGGAAAUUUUUAAAUAGAUGUUCUAUAAUGCCUAAAAAAUAAUUUUUUCGUAGGGGUCUCAGGAAGCUGGAA
Long non-coding RNA from Episyrphus balteatus (marmalade hoverfly), 1377 nucleotides. RefSeq lists it as uncharacterized. The record is from RefSeq and is a predicted model, not a curated record. The transcript is spliced from 3 exons. Lineage: Eukaryota; Metazoa; Arthropoda; Insecta; Diptera; Syrphidae.